This 435-nucleotide ribosomal RNA is filed under the name Clostridium perfringens. RNAcentral's name for it is "bacterial SSU rRNA". It matches the Rfam family "Bacterial small subunit ribosomal RNA", at positions 1 to 432 of the family's 1533-position model. The record is from RNAcentral. Lineage: Bacteria; Bacillati; Bacillota; Clostridia; Eubacteriales; Clostridiaceae.
UUAAAUUGAGAGUUUGAUCCUGGCUCAGGAUGAACGCUGGCGGCGUGCUUAACACAUGCAAGUCGAGCGAUGAAGUUUCCUUCGGGAAACGGAUUAGCGGCGGACGGGUGAGUAACACGUGGGUAACCUGCCUCAUAGAGUGGAAUAGCCUUCCGAAAGGGAGAUUAAUACCGCAUAAUGUUGAAAGAUGGCAUCAUCAUUCAACCAAAGGAGCAAUCCGCUAUGAGAUGGACCCGCGGCGCAUUAGCUAGUUGGUGGGGUAACGGCCUACCAAGGCGACGAUGCGUAGCCGACCUGAGAGGGUGAUCGGCCACAUUGGGACUGAGACACGGCCCAGACUCCUACGGGAGGCAGCAGUGGGGAAUAUUGCACAAUGGGGGAAACCCUGAUGCAGCAACGCCGCGUGAGUGAUGAAGGUUUUCGGAUCGUAAAGCU